RNAcentral lists this ribosomal RNA (395 nucleotides) under uncultured bacterium. RNAcentral describes it as "bacterial SSU rRNA". It matches the Rfam family "Bacterial small subunit ribosomal RNA", at positions 29 to 429 of the family's 1533-position model. The record is from RNAcentral.
AUUGAACGCUGGCGGAAUGCUUUACACAUGCAAGUCGAGCGGCAGCGCGGGGCAACCUGGCGGCGAGCGGCGAACGGGUGAGUAAUGCAUCGGAACGUACCCCGUCGUGGAGAAUAACUACCCGAAAGGGUAGCUAAUACCGCAUACGACCUGAGGGUGAAAGCGGGGGACCGAAAGGCCUCGCGCGAUGGGAGCGGCCGAUGCCGGAUUAGCUAGUUGGUAGGGUAAAGGCCUACCAAGGCGACGAUCCGUAGCUGGUCUGAGAGGACGACCAGCCACACUGGAACUGAGACACGGUCCAGACUCCUACGGGAGGCAGCAGUGGGGAAUUUUGGACAAUGGGCGAAAGCCUGAUCCAGCCAUUCCGCGUGAGUGAAGAAGGCCUCGGUUGUAAG